AAAAAACUUUCGGAGUCACGCGAGGCUGUUUUGGAAAUAAAGCGAGUAUAUAUAAAAUAGGCAUGAUUUUGUGGGUUUACCAAUUACCCCUACAGAAAUCGACGACACGCGCUCAACGCGAGGUUGGUGCGAGUGGGCAUGGAAUGGAGCGCGUGGCGCGAGGUUGGUGCGAGUGGGCGAAGUCCAGAGUGCGCUGAUUGGCUGAAAAAAUAGAAAUAGUGUUGAUGUAGCUCCUCCUCUCCUCCUCUAUUAUUAAUUCUUCGUCAUUCUUCAGUUCUGAAAGUUGGGUGGUUUUAAGAUGCAAUUGAGUUUUAUUCUGAGGUUUUUAGUUAUUUUGAAAUCAUUGAUUAAUGUCACCAAAAAAAAAAUAGAAUGGAUUUUGAGAUACUAAAAAUUUCAUUUUCAUUUUGUUCUACAAACAUUGAAAACUAGAUUCAGCUGAGCCCCUGAAGAAAUCAAAGUGAGUUGAAUAUUUUUCUAAAAAUGUGAAAACUGGUAAAAGUUUGUCCUCAUUUUGCUAGAAAAAGGAUUCACUUUA
Molecule: small RNA, 538 nt
Filed under: Arabidopsis thaliana (thale cress)
Lineage: Eukaryota; Viridiplantae; Streptophyta; Magnoliopsida; Brassicales; Brassicaceae
Description: ATSL233020
Source: RNAcentral